Nylanderia fulva is the source of this 252-nucleotide non-coding RNA. The record is from RefSeq and is a predicted model, not a curated record. Lineage: Eukaryota; Metazoa; Arthropoda; Insecta; Hymenoptera; Formicidae.
UCUGUUUGAUCUAUUUAUAGACAUUCUAAUAAACUCAUGUAUAUAUGGAUCCAUGAUCCAAUUCUACGUGUAAUCUGUGAAGUAUAUGUGAAUGUUUACGCAUCGUAUUUCUAUUUUUACAUUAUAACGUUUCAAGAAAUCAUACAUCAAGUAAAAAUAUAUUUGACGGAAAUAUAUAUAUAGCAAAGAAGACAAACUUAUCGGAGAAAUAAUUGACAAGUUGAAUAUUUAUUGCGGCCUCGCUAUAAUGUA